Molecule: long non-coding RNA, 278 nt
Filed under: Capsella rubella
Lineage: Eukaryota; Viridiplantae; Streptophyta; Magnoliopsida; Brassicales; Brassicaceae
Description: long non-coding RNA (CRUB_LNC001411)
Source: RNAcentral
CCCGUUCAUAUGUCUUUAUAUAUAUUUAGUCUGUGGUGCAUAUCAUCAUGUUUAUGCUUUUAGUCUGUUUAUAAUGUUUAUGAUUUUUUUUUUUUUGGGUAUCUCAUAAGAAACGUCAUAAGAUUAGUUUGUGUUAAUAAAACUUGUUUAGUUCUUCAUUACUGUUAAUUAGAGUAUGUCUCGCUUGGACUGGACUAUUUCACUAUAUACACCGUCACUAUGUUACGAGCUUACGAUCGUAUGGGACAUAUAUGGAGACAAACCAAUAUGACUAAAAC